GAUGAAGAACGUAGCGAAAUGCGAUAAGUAAUGCGAAUUGCAGAAUUCCAGUGAGUCAUCGAAUCUUUGAACGCACAUUGCGCCCUUUGGUAUUCCGAAGGGCAUGCCUGUUCGAGCGUCAUUAUCACCCCUCAAGCCCUCGGCUUGGUGUUGGAAGGUUUGGUGGAGGCCCCCUCGGGGGCUCCUGCCCCUCCCAAAGACAAUGACGGCGGCCUCGUUGGACCCCCGGUACACUGAGUUCUUCACGGGACACGUAUCGGACACAUGGGUUUACGGGACACGGUCUGCCUCCCCUCAGGGAGAAUCUUUCUAAGGUUGACCUCGGAUCAGGUAGGGAUACCCGCUGAACUUAAGCAUAUCAAAAGCGGAGGA
RNAcentral lists this unclassified non-coding RNA (372 nucleotides) under soil metagenome. RNAcentral describes it as "partial contains 5.8S ribosomal RNA, internal transcribed spacer 2, and large subunit ribosomal RNA". The stretch from base 1 to 121 matches the Rfam family "5.8S ribosomal RNA", at positions 35 to 154 of the family's 154-position model. The record is from RNAcentral.